This 1090-nucleotide long non-coding RNA is filed under the name Mus spicilegus (steppe mouse). Its description in RNAcentral is "lncRNA (ENSMSIG00000010377.1)". The record is from RNAcentral. Lineage: Eukaryota; Metazoa; Chordata; Mammalia; Rodentia; Muridae.
GCCCUUUUCUCUUUUCUAGUCUUCGCAUCUGCUGGGGAAGGAAGGAUGACCUGGAAUUCUGUCCAAACCGAAGCUCAGGGCAGAGCAGUGUGUCAAAGGUCACCGAGGCAAAAAGUAGGCCAGCGAGGAGCAGAAGCACUUCCUCCGACCACUGACCACCACCAGGGUCCCAAGGGAGGAAGAGGAAUCCCCAACCCUUCACUGCCUGGCGCCAGGUCACAUAGCCAAGGAAUACCAGAGCCGCCACACCACCUUAAUUCUGGUCUUAAGCCAGGUUCCAGUCGUUGGAAGAAGAAACAAGAAUGAGACAGAAACAAAAUAUGCCAGUUCCCGUCCCUUGGCCAGAAGACAGAUAUCAGAGGUCCCAGCAGAAUUACAAAUGCUGAGAAACCCCAGGGUUGUCUGUGAACUCAGCAGAAGGAGCUGCAGUGUGUCAGGGGAAGACUGCCUUAAGCAUCUGUGAGGAGGGAGCGCUUACCCUGAGCCCUAAAGAACAAGCGGGGCUCAGGCAGGAGUGUGCAGCGUGCUGCAGACAAAACCUGAAAAUACAAUAGUAAAAGAAGGGCCGAGGCAGAGGCAAGCUGGCCCCACUGAGAGAUGGAGAGAGGCUGCAGGUCCUUGAACCAUCCACAGGAAAGACUGAGACCUUAGGCCCGGCAGGGUGGGGCACACCAGUGAGCUCAGCACCAAGGAGGCUAAGUUGGAAGGAUCAGGAGUUCCAGGCCAACUUGGGUUACACAGAACAGAAAGGAUAAAAAGGAAGUUUGAGAGAAUGGGAAAAAAGAAGGAAGGGAAGGAAGGAGGGAGAGAGAGAGGAAAGGCAGGAGGAAGGGAGGAAGGAAAGAAGAGAGGGGGAGAGGGAGGAAAGAAGGAAGCCCAAACAGCAGCAACAGAAAGCAGAGAUCUCACAGGGCAGAGGUAGCAGAGGUGGCAGAGGUGGCACACAUCUUUCUUCCCAGUACUCAAGACCAGCCUGAUCUACAAAGUGAAUUCCAGGCAGCCAGGGCUACACAGAGAAACCCUGCCUCCGACAAAAACAAACAAACAAACAAACAAACAAAAAAACAAUAAAACAAAAAACAAAAUAACA